RNAcentral lists this ribosomal RNA (253 nucleotides) under uncultured bacterium. RNAcentral describes it as "partial 16S ribosomal RNA". It matches the Rfam family "Bacterial small subunit ribosomal RNA", at positions 524 to 776 of the family's 1533-position model. The record is from RNAcentral.
UACGGAGGGUGCGAGCGUUGUCCGGAAUCAUUGGGCGUAAAGGGCGCGUAGGUGGCCCGGUCAGCGUGCGGUGAAAGCUCGGGGCUCAACCCCGAGUCGGCCGUGCGAACUGCUGGGCUUGAGCACUGUAGAGGCAGGCGGAAUUCCGGGUGUAGCGGUGGAAUGCGUAGAGAUCCGGAAGAACACCAGUGGCGAAGGCGGCCUGCUGGGCAGUGGCUGACACUGAGGCGCGACAGCGUGGGGAGCAAACAGG